Molecule: ribosomal RNA, 491 nt
Filed under: uncultured bacterium
Lineage: Bacteria
Description: partial 16S ribosomal RNA
Rfam family: Bacterial small subunit ribosomal RNA
Source: RNAcentral
AGUGAACGCUGGCGGUAGGCCUAACACAUGCAAGUCGAACGGCAGCACAGUAAGAGCUUGCUCUUACGGGUGGCGAGUGGCGGACGGGUGAGGAAUACAUCGGAAUCUACUUUUUCGUGGGGGAUAACGUAGGGAAACUUACGCUAAUACCGCAUACGACCUACGGAUGAAAGCAGGGGAUCUUCGGACCUUGCGCGAUUGAAUGAGCCGAUGUCGGAUUAGCUAGUUGGCGGGGUAAAGGCCCACCAAGGCGACGAUCCGUAGCUGGUCUGAGAGGAUGAUCAGCCACACUGGAACUGAGACACGGUCCAGACUCCUACGGGAGGCAGCAGUGGGGAAUAUUGGACAAUGGGCGCAAGCCUGAUCCAGCCAUACCGCGUGGGUGAAGAAGGCCUUCGGUUGUAAAGCCCUUUUGUUGGGAAAGAAAAGCAGCAGGUUAAUACCCCGCUGUUCUGACGGUACCCAAAGAAUAAGCACCGGCUAACUUCGUG